Camelus dromedarius (Arabian camel) is the source of this 157-nucleotide long non-coding RNA. RefSeq lists it as uncharacterized. The transcript is spliced from 3 exons. The record is from RefSeq and is a predicted model, not a curated record. NCBI's taxonomy places the organism in Eukaryota, Metazoa, Chordata, Mammalia, Artiodactyla, Camelidae.
CAGACAAAAAGACCACAUGGAUUUGGAUAGAUGCCUCCUGCGUGUUCCUGUGGGAGAAGCACUGUCCCCUACAAAACCCAAAAACUCUUCUAGCAGAGUCCAGCAGCUCAGGUCUAAUAGUUAAUGAAAUGAAUACAGAACUGCUGCAUCCGAGACC